This 385-nucleotide ribosomal RNA is filed under the name uncultured bacterium. RNAcentral describes it as "bacterial SSU rRNA". It matches the Rfam family "Bacterial small subunit ribosomal RNA", at positions 370 to 772 of the family's 1533-position model. The record is from RNAcentral.
AAUGGAGGAAACUCUGAUGCAGCGACGCCGCGUGUAGGAAGACGGUCCUAUGGAUUGUAAACUACUGUCUUCAGGGACGAUAAUGACGGUACCUGAGGAGGAAGCCACGGCUAACUACGUGCCAGCAGCCGCGGUAAUACGUAGGUGGCAAGCGUUGUCCGGAAUUACUGGGUGUAAAGGGAGCGUAGGCGGGAAAGCAAGUUGAAUGUUUAAUCUGUGGGCUCAACUCACAGUCGCGUUCAAAACUGCUUUUCUUGAGUGAAGUAGAGGCAGGCGGAAUUCCUAGUGUAGCGGUGAAAUGCGUAGAUAUUAGGAGGAACACCAGUGGCGAAGGCGGCCUGCUGGGCUUUUACUGACGCUGAGGCUCGAAAGUGUGGGGAGCAAA